Chenopodium quinoa (quinoa) is the source of this 589-nucleotide long non-coding RNA. RefSeq lists it as uncharacterized. Lineage: Eukaryota; Viridiplantae; Streptophyta; Magnoliopsida; Caryophyllales; Amaranthaceae. The transcript is spliced from 3 exons. The record is from RefSeq and is a predicted model, not a curated record.
UUCAACCAUCUCAAAAUGAAAAUGUAAAAGGAUCAAAAUAAGGUAAAAACGGUAAUUUUAUUAAUUCAAAAUACCAAUAUCGAAUACAUAAAACGUGAUAGAUUGAUCAAUAUCGGAUAUUACCAAUUUAUCAUACACUUCCCCUAUCUUUCAAACUUUCACCCCUCGAAACUUCACUUUGCCAAAAUAGAUUUUAAAACUUUAGCAAAAGGAUACAUAAAUCGUGAUACAUUGAUCAAUAUCGAAUGUUAUUAAUUUAUCAUAAACUUCCCCUUAAUCUUUCAAACUUUCACCCCUCAAAACUUCUCUUUACCGAAAAAGAUUUUGAAGCUUUGGCGCCAAAGAACAUGGCUUCGGCCAAAGCAACCAGCAGUAACAGGAGCUGAAUUUUCAGCACAUUGGCAAACGACUAUAGUGCAGAUAUAUUUAAUUCUUUCCCCAGCAAAGUCUACUGCUGCUUCUCUAUAAUUGUUCAUGGAAUCCUGCAAUGUUGUCUCCCUCAUCCAGUGCUUUAAGAGAUGGACUUGCUGACCUGAGAAGUGCAGCCAUGAGGAAGGUGAGAGCAGGGACAGAAUUCUGAACAGCCGAG